Molecule: long non-coding RNA, 1972 nt
Organism: Perca flavescens (yellow perch)
Lineage: Eukaryota; Metazoa; Chordata; Actinopteri; Perciformes; Percidae
Exons: 3
Source: RefSeq, a predicted model, not a curated record
GCUCUGCGACCAUACCAGAGAUUGGACUGCAUUGACCAUUUCAUUAAUACGGUACUGCGGCAUGGACUCGACAUUUCCAAGUUAUCCAAAGCCGACGGUGCUCCGGACAUAGGAGAUACCAUUACUCCUGCUAAAUCAUUGGUGAGGUACGUUAAACAGUCGGGGUUGGCUGUCAACAACAUUGCUGCAAAUGGUAGACACUCGGUCCAGUACAGUAUACCUCACACUGACUUCUAUGCAGGCCAUUUAUCCAUGUCCAGGUCCAUGAAAAGCUGGAGGCACGAGGGGAGAGCGCGCGCAUUGAAAAAGUAGCACCGGACACACUGGGCUUUUUGAUAGACUUUCUGAAGCCGUUCUAUGAAGCACAGCGGAAACUUGAGGGAGACAAGUAUCCAACACUUAAUAGUGUGUGUCUCUGGUAUGAGAAACUGAAACGCCACAAUGUACAUGUCAGCCCAAUUCCCUGGACUCCCCUCUGCAAGCUGUUGUGCGUAAACGACACGGAGACUGGCUCACUCGUAAAGUGAUAAUACAGGACCUCCACAAGAUGGCAACAUUCCUCUGGCCAAAAUUUAUCCAGCUGAGAAUGUUGUCACACUCAGACAGGAAUGCAGUACACGCUCAUGCCCGCACUCUUCUGCAAGCCAUAGCUGCAGGUGCAGAGAUUCAAGACCCAGAGCUCUCCAGAGUCAAAGCCACUCCUCUGGCAAAAAGGGCGAAUUUUGCGGAGUGGGAAAAUGUAAGGCCAGCUGACGGGGAAGAUGACGAGGUCACUUGCUACAUUGAAGCAGCUGUCAUGGAAAAUUAAAUGGACGUUCUUGGCUGGUGGAAGACCAACAAACAAUCCUACCCGAAACUUCCAAUAUUAGCCAGAUCAGUCCUGUGCUGGCCAGUAACAGCAGCAGUGCAAGGGUGUUCAGUGCAGCUGGACGCACCAUCAGUGAGUGCAGGACCAUGCUGAAGCCAUCUACAGCGGAUUCAGUAAUUUUCCUCCACAAAAAAUGUAGCCUAAUCUUGCUCUACUCUGGAGAUGUAGCUGUAUGAUGAGGACACCCUGUAACGUGAUGACAUCAGCAGUCUGACUGCAGGGAUAAAGGAAACCAAGGAAUUCAGCCUAGACCAUGAGGAAAAACCUACUCCCACAGCACCUGUAGACAUCAGCAUGGUAACACAGCUAAACAUGUUGGUUGAUUGGCCAGACAACAACAGAGACGUGGCCAAUCUGAAGGGUGGAGAAGCCAAGACUAUAGAUAAGAUAUUCCCCUGAUGGAGUCUAGACACUGGUGGUGGUGGUGAAGGAGCCUGAAGACCGGACCGAAGGAGGAAGACCCGGGGAGCCGUAGGUGAUGAUGACUGGAGGUGGAAGGAGAGGAGGAGGGUUGCACUCUUUGUCUGAAAUGACAGCUGAAUGCAGCAGAGAGAGAAGCAGGGAUGUAAUGCUGUGAUUGGUUCGUGAAAUUCAUGGCCAAUUUUGAUUGGUUUAACUGACAAGUGAACUGAAAAGUGAUCGCCUCGAACCAGCUGAUCAAUUUUAGGAAGAGAGAGAGGUGAUUAAGUUUAGAAGUCUUCCUGAAAGAAUUUGCGCUGAGCUUCAUAUGUUUUUAUUUUUGUAAACUUAAAACGGGGACACUGCCCCAGGGGCGUCACUAGACCUAGAGCUGCACUGGGGCACAAGCCCCCCUAGGGGGGGGUCCAUGGGCAUGCUCCCCUCUAAGAAAAUGUUGUCUAUUUUAAAGUUUAAAUGCAUCCACUUUGAAAAGGGAGGGCGUUCUAUGUGUGGAGUAGUUUUGGAGACAUGCCUCUUUGUAAUUAUGACAUUUUUUAUGGCAAAAGAUAUUCCCCAAAAAUUAUGCAUAUUUUUGAAAAGUAAGCGAUGUAGUACAACCAGCAGAACACUAAUUAUGUGUGAGGUAAGUUUAGAGACACAACUCUAAUUAUUAAAAUAUUAAAUGUUUUUGUCAAAGAAUAUUCC